This 936-nucleotide ribosomal RNA is filed under the name Triticum aestivum (bread wheat). Its description in RNAcentral is "partial small subunit ribosomal RNA". Lineage: Eukaryota; Viridiplantae; Streptophyta; Magnoliopsida; Poales; Poaceae. The record is from RNAcentral.
AUGGCCGGCGCCGCGGGCGACAGGGCGGAAGGUGUGGGCGGUGGCGGGGACUGGCCGCCGUUCGCCGGCGACGCCUUCGCGGAGUACUCGUCGUCGGUGUUCGCGGAGCUCGGUGGAUGGUCGGAUGGCCUUGGCGCGGGCGCCGGGGAGCUGCCGCCGCUGGAUCUGCCGGCGGCGAGCGCGUCCGGGCCGGUCCCGAUGGCGCGGUCGGACGAGAUCAUGCCGGCCGCGUCAGGCGAGCCCGCAGGCGCCGCCUCCUCCUGCUCCAGCGGCGACGGCGCCGCAGCCGCCGCGGAGAACGCCGACAAGCCGCAGGAGGCCGCCGACGCAGCGAGCAUGAAGCCGGCGGCGGCGGCAGGGAAGAAGGGGCAGAAGCGGGCGCGGCAGCAGCGGUUCGCCUUCGUGACCAAGAGCGAAGUUGAUCACCUCGAGGAUGGGUACAGAUGGAGGAAGUAUGGGCAGAAAGCCGUCAAGAACAGCCCUUUCCCAAGGAGCUACUACCGGUGCACCAACAGCAAGUGCACCGUGAAGAAGCGGGUGGAGCGGUCGUCGGAGGACCCCUCCGUGGUGAUCACCACCUACGAGGGCCAGCACUGCCACCACCAGACCUCCUUCCAGCGCGGCGGCAUGCACUUCCACGGCGCCGCCACCGUUGCGCUCGCCGAGCAGAUGUCGUUCGUGUCAACUCAGCAGCUGUACAACCUGCCGCCCCUGCGCCGACAACAGAUGAAUCCUGCAUCGUCGGAGUCCGCCGUUAGCUCCGUGCCGCCGUCUUUGCAGCAGCUCAACGGCGGCGACGAACUGCGAAGGUCAACUAGCUAUAGCCCCACGGCGUCCGCGGUGCAGACACCGUCGUCGUCGUUGGUGCCUCCGGACGUUUCCUUUGACAUGGGACUGCUUGGCGACAUCGUGCCUCCAGGAGUAAGAAAUGGAUGA